Molecule: ribosomal RNA, 496 nt
Filed under: uncultured bacterium
Lineage: Bacteria
Description: partial 16S ribosomal RNA
Rfam family: Bacterial small subunit ribosomal RNA
Source: RNAcentral
AUUGAGCGCUGGCGGAAUGCUUUACACAUGCAAGUCGAACGGUAGAGGGGGCAACCCCUCGAGAGUGGCGAACGGGUGAGUAAUAUAUCGGAACGUGCCCAGCCGUGGGGGAUAACGUAGCGAAAGUUACGCUAAUACCGCAUACGAUCUAAGGAUGAAAGCGGGGGAUCGCAAGACCUCGCGCGAUUGGAGCGGCCGAUAUCAGAUUAGGUAGUUGGUGGGGUAAAGGCUCACCAAGCCAACGAUCUGUAGCUGGUCUGAGAGGACGACCACCCACACUGGAACUGAGACACGGUCCAGCCUCCUACGGGAGGCAGCAGUGGGGAAGUUUGGACCAUGGACGCAAGUCUGAUCCAGCCAUUCCGCGUGCAGGAUGAAGGCCCUCGGGUUGUAAACUGCUUUUGUACGGAACGAAAAGGUCUCUCUUAAUACGGGGGACUCAUGACGGUACCGUAAGAAUAAGCACCGGCUAACUACGUGCCAGCAGCCGCGGUAA